This 745-nucleotide ribosomal RNA is filed under the name Salmonella enterica subsp. enterica serovar Kentucky. RNAcentral describes it as "partial 23S ribosomal RNA". It matches the Rfam family "Bacterial large subunit ribosomal RNA", at positions 1 to 678 of the family's 2925-position model. Lineage: Bacteria; Pseudomonadati; Pseudomonadota; Gammaproteobacteria; Enterobacterales; Enterobacteriaceae. The record is from RNAcentral.
GGGUUGUGAGGUUAAGCGACUAAGCGUACACGGUGGAUGCCCUGGCAGUCAGAGGCGAUGAAGGACGUGCUAAUCUGCGAUAAGCGCCGGUAAGGUGAUAUGAACCGUUAUAACCGGCGAUUUCCGAAUGGGGAAACCCAGUGUGACUCGUCACACUAUCAUUAACUGAAUCCAUAGGUUAAUGAGGCGAACCGGGGGAACUGAAACAUCUAAGUACCCCGAGGAAAAGAAAUCAACCGAGAUUCCCCCAGUAGCGGCGAGCGAACGGGGAGGAGCCCAGAGCCUGAAUCAGCAUGUGUGUUAGUGGAAGCGUCUGGAAAGGCGCGCGAUACAGGGUGACAGCCCCGUACACAAAAGCGCAUGUGUUGUGAGCUCGAUGAGUAGGGCGGGACACGUGGUAUCCUGUCUGAAUAUGGGGGGACCAUCCUCCAAGGCUAAAUACUCCUGACUGACCGAUAGUGAACCAGUACCGUGAGGGAAAGGCGAAAAGAACCCCGGCGAGGGGAGUGAAAAAGAACCUGAAACCGUGUACGUACAAGCAGUGGGAGCCCCACCACUAAGCCAGUGGUGAACUCCACAUACGCAUCCUUUGCUGAAGGUGCGGUUAACGGAGCGCAAGCGACGUUCAACCUCAAAAGAAGCAGAGGGGGCUUAGUGGUGGGGUGACUGCGUACCUUUUGUAUAAUGGGUCAGCGACUUAUAUUCUGUAGCAAGGUUAACCGCAUAGGGGAGCCGGAGGGAAACC